UGAGGAGAAGUCUUUACCACACACAAACAAAAUUGCAAAGAUGAAGGCAUAUUUUAUUCUAUGCAUUGUCUUGGCUUCCAUUCUCUUCUUUCCCUCUUCACUUCUAGCUCGUGAAUUAGCUGCUGGUCAUCAGGGUUCAGGAAACGCUAAUAACCCAACAAUUCCAUGUAAGGGUGGCAAGGGUAACGCAUACUGCAACAACCCGAAACCGAAACCGAAGUGUAACAAGUAUGAGCGCCGUGGCUGUCCUCAUAAUUCAAGCCCUUGAAUUAGAGUCAGAGACCAACAAUAUGGUGUGAAAUCAAGUCACUCUAUGUGACUAGUGUCAGCUACUACAAUAGUAUGUAUGUGUGUCUGCUUAAUUAGUAGUAUCAUAUUGUAAGCCAGUGUGUGUAUGUUAAGAAUAAUUAAGGUGACAAAAAUGUGUGGUGCAAAAGAUUAUGGGGUUAAGGUUUGUCAUCAGGGCUUGUUUGCCCUGUGUUUGUAAUAUAUGUUUGGAAGUGAGAAUAAGUAGCUGACUUGCUUUAAUUUGUC
Long non-coding RNA from Morus notabilis, 534 nucleotides. RefSeq lists it as uncharacterized. The transcript is spliced from 2 exons. NCBI's taxonomy places the organism in Eukaryota, Viridiplantae, Streptophyta, Magnoliopsida, Rosales, Moraceae. The record is from RefSeq and is a predicted model, not a curated record.